Molecule: unclassified non-coding RNA, 202 nt
Filed under: Hevea brasiliensis (rubber tree)
Lineage: Eukaryota; Viridiplantae; Streptophyta; Magnoliopsida; Malpighiales; Euphorbiaceae
Source: RNAcentral
GACGAUUUUGGUCGUUUAUCUACCUGGGGUGAUGAAGAAGAAUGCUGCAAUUGGAAGGGUAUUGAAUGUGACAAAAGAACAGGUCAUGUUAUUGUUCUUGAUCUCCACAGUGAGGUUACUUGUCCAGGCCAUGCUUGUUUUGCUCCAAUAUUGACAGGUAAAGUUAGUCCUUCUCUACUUGAGUUGGAGUAUUUGAAUUUCU